RNAcentral lists this transfer RNA (72 nucleotides) under Bos taurus (domestic cattle). It matches the Rfam family "tRNA". From Rfam's summary of the family: Transfer RNA (tRNA) molecules are approximately 80 nucleotides in length. RNAcentral also lists the same sequence under 4 other names. The record is from Rfam by way of RNAcentral. Lineage: Eukaryota; Metazoa; Chordata; Mammalia; Artiodactyla; Bovidae.
UCCCUGGUGGCUCAGAUGGUAAAGAAUCUGCCUGCGAUGCAGGAGACCUGGGUUCGAUUCCUGGGUGGGGAA